This 462-nucleotide ribosomal RNA is filed under the name uncultured bacterium. RNAcentral describes it as "SSU rRNA". It matches the Rfam family "Bacterial small subunit ribosomal RNA", at positions 26 to 521 of the family's 1533-position model. The record is from RNAcentral.
AGAAUCAACGCUGGCGGCGUGCCUAACACAUGCAAGUCGCACGAGAAAGUGGAGCAAUCCAUGAGUACAGUGGCGCACGGGUGAGUAACACGUGAAUCAUCUACCUCCGAGUGGGGAAUAACUGAGAGAAAUCUUGGCUAAUACCGCAUAACACUUACGAGUCAAAGCAGCAAUGCGCUUGGAGAGGAGUUCGCGGCAGAUUAGUUAGUUGGCAGGGUAAUGGCCUACCAAGACGAUGAUCUGUAUCCGGCCUGAGAGGGCGCACGGACACACUGGAACUGAAACACGGUCCAGACUCCUACGGGAGGCAGCAGUGGGGAAUUUUGCGCAAUGGGGGAAACCCUGACGCAGCAACGCCGCGUGGAGGAUGAAAUCCCUUGGGAUGUAAACUCCUUUCGAUAGGGAAGAUAAUGACGGUACCUAUAGAAGAAGCCCGGCUAACUUCGCGCCAGCAGCCGCGGU